RNAcentral lists this ribosomal RNA (451 nucleotides) under uncultured Thauera sp. RNAcentral's name for it is "bacterial SSU rRNA". It matches the Rfam family "Bacterial small subunit ribosomal RNA", at positions 930 to 1382 of the family's 1533-position model. The record is from RNAcentral. Lineage: Bacteria; Pseudomonadati; Pseudomonadota; Betaproteobacteria; Rhodocyclales; Zoogloeaceae.
CGGUGGGUGAUGUGGAUUAAUUCGAUGCAACGCGAAAAACCUUACCUACCCUUGACAUGUCUGGAACCUUGCUGAGAGGCGAGGGUGCCUUCGGGAGCCAGAACACAGGUGCUGCAUGGCUGUCGUCAGCUCGUGUCGUGAGAUGUUGGGUUAAGUCCCGCAACGAGCGCAACCCUUGUCAUUAGUUGCCAUCAUUUAGUUGGGCACUCUAAUGAGACUGCCGGUGACAAACCGGAGGAAGGUGGGGAUGACGUCAAGUCCUCAUGGCCCUUAUGGGUAGGGCUUCACACGUCAUACAAUGGCUGGUACAAAGGGUUGCCAACCCGCGAGGGGGAGCCAAUCCCAUAAAGCCAGUCGUAGUCCGGAUCGUAGUCUGCAACUCGACUACGUGAAGUCGGAAUCGCUAGUAAUCGUGGAUCAGAAUGUCACGGUGAAUACGUUCCCGGGUCUU